GAUGAAGAACGCAGUGAAAUGCGAUAAUUAAUGUGAAUUGCAGAAUUCAGUGAAUCAUCGAGUCUUUGAACGCACAUUGCGCCCCCUGGUAUUCCGGGGGGCAUGCCUGUCCGAGCGUCAUUGCUGCCCUCAAGCACGGCUUGUGUGUUGGGCUUCCGUCCCUGGCAACGGGGACGGGCCCAAAAGGCAGUGGCGGCACCAUGUCUGGUCCUCGAGCGUAUGGGGCUUUGUCACCCGCUCCCGUAGGUCCAGCUGGCAGCUAGCCUCGCAACCAAUCUUUUUAACCAGGUUGACCUCGGAUCAGGUAGGGAUACUCGCUGAACUUAAGCAUAUCAAUAAGCGGAGGA
Molecule: unclassified non-coding RNA, 347 nt
Filed under: soil metagenome
Description: partial contains 5.8S ribosomal RNA, internal transcribed spacer 2, and large subunit ribosomal RNA
Rfam family: 5.8S ribosomal RNA (bases 1-120)
Source: RNAcentral